This is a non-coding RNA of Podarcis lilfordi (Lilford's wall lizard), 82 nucleotides long. Lineage: Eukaryota; Metazoa; Chordata; Lepidosauria; Squamata; Lacertidae. The record is from the annotation of a GenBank genome assembly.
CUGUACAGGGAUAGCUCAGUUGGUAGAACAUGAGACUCUUAAUCUCAGUCGAGAGUUGGGCAGAAGAUUCCUGCUUCACAGG